This 1907-nucleotide long non-coding RNA is filed under the name Selaginella moellendorffii. RNAcentral's name for it is "long non-coding RNA (SMOE_LNC000922)". Lineage: Eukaryota; Viridiplantae; Streptophyta; Lycopodiopsida; Selaginellales; Selaginellaceae. The record is from RNAcentral.
UCGCGAUGGAGCAUUGAAGGUCCCACAUUGGCCUUGGCCGAUGGUGUGAGAUCCCAAGAGAGCGACUAGAUCUUGCACAGAGAGGCCACGGCUUUGAAAGUUGGCGACGAGCAUGGAAACAUUGAAGAAGAAAGGUGGAAGUUCUACGUUUGCAGCCGUCUGGCUGUCUCGCCGGCCAAAGGUAACGGUCCAUGUUGGUCCAUUCAGCUGGUCAAUGUUCAUCCUAAGUGGUAUAAUUAUUGUCAUUACCACAGCCGACCGACGUGCACGAUCAUAUCAGCACAUGAGACAGUGUUUAAAGUCUUUAUGUUUUCAAUCACGUUGUAUCCUCGCAAGGAGUUUAUGUUUGGGAAAGCAAACUGCUCAUUCUUUGAGCCAUUCAGCAUAAUGGAUGCAUCACAUCCCUGCAAAUUAUUCUUAAUUUUCCUGCUUAAUAGAAAGGGGAAAGCUUUUCUUACAUUCACAUGACAGUCGUGAAAGAAGAGUCGAACUAAAGAUGCACACAUUUGUGGCUCGCUUGCCACAAACUGCAGCUUGGACAAUUCCUGUGAGAUUUGAACAAGAACGUUGGGCUCAAGUUUGCAAGCGCAUGGCCAGACAUUGCAAACAAAAGAAAGAUGCUAAUCAUGAUGCUUGAAGCCAUUCUUAGUGAUAAUCAAAAUAUGCAAGUUUAUUAUGGAUUUGGCCUUUCUUUAUAUACAAGGGAGCUGAUCAAGACAAUUAAGUGAAACUCUUGACGCAAGCAAUAUUGACUUUCAGAGUUGAGAAAAUGAUAAUUAAGAUUAGCUUGUGACGCUAAUUGUGGGUGGGUUGGCAGAAAAAAUAUCGGAAUUCUUUGCGUGGGUGUUAGAAAUCAGAUUCGGAAAAUAUGGCUCUCUCCAGGCAGACCCAGUGCGCCAACUUGAAGGCUCGGCUCUACAGGCCCUUCCAAAGCGGUGACCAGACGUUGCAAAGCUCGUGCGUGGGCAGCAAUGGCGACACCAAUCUCUCGCCGCUCGACAUCCAGACGCCCACCAGCUUUGACAAUCGCUACUUUAGGAACUUGCAUAACCGGAGAGGGUUGCUCUUCUCGCUCUUUUCCGGGGACCAGUUCAGCAGGAGGAAUCUUGCCAAAUCAUAGGCUUCGAGCCAGAGCACCUUCUUCCAGUACUUUGGUAAUGCAAUGGUAAGGAUGGGUAAUAUCAACGUGUUGACUGGAUCCAAUGGAGAGAUUCGAAGAAGUAUCUUGAUAAAUACCUUGGAACCAAGGGAUAAUAAUUUUUAUUUAUUGAAAAAAUCUAGUUCACUUUGCCACAGUAUUUACGGAUCUGUCCAUUUGGAGCUAAGAGCGGCUUGAGGUUUCCCAUAUUGAUCAUUCCAGUCGCAAAGUCCUGGAAAAAUCGUGCUUGAUUCAUGGCAUAAGUGUGCACCAGCUGCGCAACCGUCCAAUCGCCACCACUCCACAGUGUCUGGUCAGAGUGGAACAAUCCACUGAAAUUUAUCAAGUUCUUGUAAUACUUGUUGUCAAACACCACUGGAGUUUGCAAAUCUAGAGGAGAAAGGUUUGAGUCACCACCACUGCUAGGACACUGGCUCCUGAGCGACUGAUUGUAGUAAGGGUUCAUGUAAUCUGGCGAAGAGCUCAGUGAUGGACCAUAAAGGCGAGACUUGAAGUUCCCACAUUGGCCUUGGCCAAUGGUGUGAGAUCCUGAGAGAGCGACUAGAUCUUGCACGGAGAGACCAUGGCUUUGAAAGUUAGCGAUGAGCCUGGAAACAUUGAGGAAGAAAGGUGGAAGUUCUACGUUUGCAGCCGUCUGGUUUGCCGUGAGGCUGUCUCGCCGGCCAAAGGUAACGGUCCAUGUUGGUCCAUUCAGCUGGUCAAUACAGAAUUAGUUCUACUUAAUGGUAUAAUUACUGUCAUUACCGCC